UUACAGAAAAGAGAUCCCAUUUUAUUUAAGCAAGGGAAGAAGCCCUGACGCGUUCUCAUACAAGGUGGGAUCAGAAGAUGCAACGCCUGAAGAAGCAAAGUUUAUGUACACGGACAACGAACAAUGUUCGGUCCUCGACAUGCCCUACAAUGGCCACCAGUGUAUCCUUUGGUCUUCCGAAUUGAAAAAGGACUCUCUGCCUCAAGAGUGCAUGGACCAGUUUGCCGACCUCUGCGGCGACGGCAUUCAGUUAUACAGCAAGGAUUUAUGCCCGAAUGAUGCAAUUGAGAAUUUCGAUGUGCUGGCUAGAUAGCAGCGCACAAAAUAAAAACGGAUUUGCUAGAAUGUUGCCCUGUAAUACGGGCAGACUUGAGCAUGUUGAGUUUAUUGUGCUAA
Long non-coding RNA from Dermacentor albipictus, 396 nucleotides. RefSeq lists it as uncharacterized. Lineage: Eukaryota; Metazoa; Arthropoda; Arachnida; Ixodida; Ixodidae. The record is from RefSeq and is a predicted model, not a curated record.